Molecule: ribosomal RNA, 246 nt
Filed under: uncultured bacterium
Lineage: Bacteria
Description: partial 16S ribosomal RNA
Rfam family: Bacterial small subunit ribosomal RNA
Source: RNAcentral
GCAAGUCGAACGGUAACAGGAAUUAGCUUGCUAAUUUGCUGACGAGUGGCGGACGAGUGAGUAAUGCUUGGGAACAUGCCUUGAGGUGGGGGACAACAGUUGGAAACGACUGCUAAUACCGCAUAAUGUCUACGGACCAAAGGAGGCAACGUCUCUCGGCUUUAGAUUGGCUCGAGUGGGAUUAGCUAGUUGGUGAGGUAAUGGCUCACCAAGGCGACGAUCCCUAGCUGGUUUGAGAGGAUGGUC